AACGCUGGCGGCAGGCUUAACACAUGCAAGUCGAGCGCCCCGCAAGGGGAGCGGCAGACGGGUGAGUAACACGUGGGAACGUACCCUUUACUACGGAAUAACGCAGGGAAACUUGUGCUAAUACCGUAUGUGCCCUUUUGGGGAAAGAUUUAUCGGUAAGGGAUCGGCCCGCGUUGGAUUAGCUAGUUGGUGGGGUAAAGGCCUACCAAGGCGACGAUCCAUAGCUGGUCUGAGAGGAUGAUCAGCCACAUUGGGACUGAGACACGGCCCAAACUCCUACGGGAGGCAGCAGUGGGGAAUAUUGGACAAUGGGCGCAAGCCUGAUCCAGCCAUGCCGCGUGAGUGAUGAAGGCCCUAGGGUUGUAAAGCUCUUUCACCGGAGAAGAUAAUGACGGUAUCCGGAGAAGAAGCCCCGGCUAACUUCGUGCCAGCAGCCGCGGUAAUACGAAGGGGGCUAGCGUUGUUCGGAAUUACUGGGCGUAAAGCGCACGUAGGCGGAC
This 500-nucleotide ribosomal RNA is filed under the name proteobacterium D185. RNAcentral's name for it is "bacterial SSU rRNA". It matches the Rfam family "Bacterial small subunit ribosomal RNA", at positions 32 to 580 of the family's 1533-position model. Lineage: Bacteria; Pseudomonadati; Pseudomonadota. The record is from RNAcentral.